Molecule: long non-coding RNA, 1194 nt
Organism: Brassica napus (rape)
Lineage: Eukaryota; Viridiplantae; Streptophyta; Magnoliopsida; Brassicales; Brassicaceae
Exons: 3
Source: RefSeq, a predicted model, not a curated record
ACAUUGUCAAAACAUAUAUCUACUCACCUUAGUCUUUGUAAGUAUACUAGAUUGUCAGGAAAACAAAUACACAAGUUUUCACAGUGAUGGAGAAAAUUUCAUUCAAGUCUGCUUUCAUCAUCCUUUUAGCUUUUACUAUGGUGAUAUCCAUAACAGUUCAGAUUGGUGAGGCGAAACGUAUGUUACAAGAAGAAAAGUCUCUGCCGUUAUUGGAUCUUCAAGUUUCCAAGCUGGUUAACCCACAAAUGGUUGGAUUUUGCAAAGAACCUUGCAAACCCUUAUGCUUUCAAUUCAGUUGUCACUGUGUAUGCCCUGAGCCACCAACACUAUAAACUAUGAUCAGAUCAACUAAUGAAUAAAAAAUAUUUGUUUUAACAUUGCUUUUUAACACUUUUGAUUAUUUAAAAAUAUUAAGAAACUCUUAAUUGAUUUAUAUGAAAAAUAGGUUUUUACAUACAUUGACUAACAUUGACCCAAAUUCUGUAAUUUAACUGUUUAUCAGUGGUGGUAUGGCAAUGAUAUAUCAUAUGAAUCAGUUUAAAAUAUUUGUAAUACAAAAUGACAUUGCUUCGUUAAUUAUAUUAAAAUAAAUAAAUUUAAAAGGAAAAUGUGCAGUUGACUAGAAUCAAAUAACCGUUACAGAGAUUUGUUCUUUAAACCAGGUAUAGAAUAUAUAUAGUAAGUAUAGCUUUGUUUUAACCGUUACAAAGCUAAGAAAACUUUGUUUUGCCCAGAACCGUUACUUAGUUUUCUAUUAUUAUAUAUAGUCAACUAUUUUCUUAAUGAGAUUUGAUCUUUCAGAAAAUUUUUAUUUUCUUAUCACAUUUUUCUAUUCUAUAAAAACGUUAUACAUUGUCCAGAAUAUAUACCAUUCACCUUGUUUUCGUUUAAAAAAACACACAAUUUUCUGCAGUGAUGGGUUCAUUCAAGUAUGCUUUCAUCGUCCUUUUAGUUCUUACUGUGGUGAUAUCAGUAACAGUUCAGAUUAGUGAGGCGAAACUUAUGUUACAAGAAGAAAAGUCUUUGCCAUUAUUGGAUCUUCAAGUUUCCAAGCUGGUUAACCCACAAAUGGUUGGAUUUUGUAAGGAACCUUGCAAACCCUUAUGUUUUCAAUUCAGUUGUCAUUGUGUAUGUCCUGAGCCACCAAAACUAUAAACUAUGAUCAACUAAUCUGAAAAAAAAUAUUUGUGUUAA